RNAcentral lists this transfer RNA (57 nucleotides) under Camelus bactrianus (Bactrian camel). It matches the Rfam family "tRNA", at positions 8 to 63 of the family's 71-position model. From Rfam's summary of the family: Transfer RNA (tRNA) molecules are approximately 80 nucleotides in length. Their secondary structure includes four short double-helical elements and three loops (D, anti-codon, and T loops). Further hydrogen bonds mediate the characteristic L-shaped molecular structure. tRNAs have two regions of fundamental functional importance: the anti-codon, which is responsible for specific mRNA codon recognition, and the 3' end, to which the tRNAs corresponding amino acid is attached (by aminoacyl-tRNA synthetases). tRNAs cope with the degeneracy of the genetic code in two manners: having more than one tRNA (with a specific anti-codon) for a particular amino acid; and 'wobble' base-pairing, i.e. permitting non-standard base-pairing at the 3rd anti-codon position. The record is from Rfam by way of RNAcentral. RNAcentral also lists the same sequence under 1 other name. Lineage: Eukaryota; Metazoa; Chordata; Mammalia; Artiodactyla; Camelidae.
UAGCUCAAAGGCAGAGUGCCUGCUUAGCAUGCAGAAGGUUCUGGGUUCAAGCCCCAG